UGGGGAAUCUUGCGCAAUGGGCGAAAGCCUGACGCAGCCAUGCCGCGUGAAUGAUGAAGGUCUUAGGAUUGUAAAGUUCUUUCGCUCGUGACGAUGAUGACGGUAACGAGAGAAGAAGCCCCGGCUAACUUCGUGCCAGCAGCCGCGGUAAUACGAAGGGGGCUAGCGUUGUUCGGAAUUACUGGGCGUAAAGCGCGCGUAGGCGGUUUUGCAAGCCAGAGGUGAAAUGCCUGAGCUCAACUUAGGAAUUGCCUUUGGGACUGCGAGGCUUUGAGGACGAGAGAGGUGAGUGGAAUUCCUAGUGUAGAGGUGAAAUUCGUAGAUAUCAGGAGGAACACCGGUGGCGAAGGCGGCCACCUGGACGGUUACUGACGCUGAGACGCGAAAGCGUGGGGAGCAAACAGGAUUAGAUACCCAGGUAGUCCCUGAGCGGGCUGGCAAGGCGCAU
RNAcentral lists this ribosomal RNA (448 nucleotides) under uncultured bacterium. RNAcentral describes it as "bacterial SSU rRNA". It matches the Rfam family "Bacterial small subunit ribosomal RNA", at positions 355 to 825 of the family's 1533-position model. The record is from RNAcentral.